CAAUAGCGUAUAUUAAAGUUGUUGCGGUUAAAAGCUCGUAGUUGGAUUUCUGCCGAGGACGACCGGUCCGCCCUCUGGGUGAGUAUCUGGCUUGGCCUUGGCAUCUUCUUGGAGAACGUAGCUGCACUUGACUGUGUGGUGCGGUAUCCAGGACUUUUACUUUGAGGAAAUUAGAGUGUUUCAAGCAGGCAUACGCCUUGAAUACAUUAGCAUGGAAUAAUAAGAUAGGACCUCGGUUCUAUUUUGUUGGUUCUAGAAUCGUGACAAUGAUUAAUAGGGAUAGUCGGGGGUAUUUGUAUUCAACUGUCAGAGGUGAAAUUCUUGGAUUUGUUGAAGACAGACUACUGCGAAAGCAUUUACCAAGGAUGUUUUUCAUUGAUCAAGAACGAAAGUUAGGGGAUCGAAGACGAUCAGAUACCA
Molecule: ribosomal RNA, 420 nt
Filed under: uncultured eukaryote
Lineage: Eukaryota
Description: SSU rRNA
Rfam family: Eukaryotic small subunit ribosomal RNA
Source: RNAcentral